GAAUGGCGUAAUGAUGGCCAGGCUGUCUCCACCCGAGACUCAGUGAAAUUGAACUCGCUGUGAAGAUGCAGUGUACCCGCGGCAAGACGGAAAGACCCCGUGAACCUUUACUAUAGCUUGACACUGAACAUUGAGCCUUGAUGUGUAGGAUAGGUGGGAGGCUUUGAAGCGUGGACGCCAGUCUGCGUGGAGCCGACCUUGAAAUACCACCCUUUAAUGUUUGAUGUUCUAACGUGGACCCGUAAUCCGGGUUGCGGACAGUGUCUGGUGGGUAGUUUGACUGGGGCGGUCUCCUCCUAAAGAGUAACGGAGGAGCACGAAGGUUGGCUAAUCCUGGUCGGACAUCAGGAGGUUAGUGCAAUGGCAUAAGCCAGCUUGACUGCGAGCGUGACGGCGCGAGCAGGUGCGAAAGCAGGUCAUAGUGAUCCGGUGGUUCUGAAUGGAAGGGCCAUCGCUCAACGGAUAAAAGGUACUCCGGGGAUAACAGGCUGAUACCGCCCAAGAGUUCAUAUCGACGGCGGUGUUUGGCACCUCGAUGUCGGCUCAUCACAUCCUGGGGCUGAAGUAGGUCCCAAGGGUAUGGCUGUUCGCCAUUUAAAGUGGUACGCGAGCUGGGUUUAGAACGUCGUGAGACAGUUCGGUCCCUAUCUGCCGUGGGCGCUGGAGAACUGAGGGGGGCUGCUCCUAGUACGAGAGGACCGGAGUGGACGCAUCACUGGUGUUCGGGUUGUCAUGCCAAUGGCACUGCCCGGUAGCUAAAUGCGGAAGAGAUAAGUGCUGAAAGCAUCUAAGCACGAAACUUGCCCCGAGAUGAGUUCUCCCUGAGACUUUAGGUCUCCUGAAGGAACGUUGAAGACGACGACGUUGAUAGGCCGGGUGUGUAAGCGCAGCGAUGCGUUGAGCUAACCGGUACUAAUGAACCGUGAGGCUUAACCUUACA
RNAcentral lists this ribosomal RNA (940 nucleotides) under Salmonella enterica. RNAcentral describes it as "partial 23S ribosomal RNA". It matches the Rfam family "Bacterial large subunit ribosomal RNA", at positions 1994 to 2925 of the family's 2925-position model. Lineage: Bacteria; Pseudomonadati; Pseudomonadota; Gammaproteobacteria; Enterobacterales; Enterobacteriaceae. The record is from RNAcentral.